CCUACGGGAGGCAGCAGUGAGGAAUAUUGGUCAAUGGUCGCGAGACUGAACCAGCCAAGCCGCGUGAGGGAUGAAGGUACAGUGUAUCGUAAACCUCUUUUGUCAGGGAACAAAGGCGGGGACGUGUCCCCGGCUGAGUGUACCCGAAGAAAAAGCAUCGGCUAACUCCGUGCCAGCAGCCGCGGUAAUACGGAGGAUGCGAGCGUUAUCCGGAUUUAUUGGGUUUAAAGGGUGCGCAGGCGGUCUGUAAAGUCAGCGGUAAAAGCGAGGGGCUCAACCCCGGCGAGCCGUUGAAACUGGCAGUCUCGAGUGGGAGAGAAGUAUGCGGAAUGCGCGGUGUAGCGGUGAAAUGCAUAGAUAUCGCGCAGAACUCCGAUUGCGAAGGCAGCAUGCCGGCUCCACACUGACGCUGAGGCACGAAAGCGUGGGUAUCGAACAGGAUUAGAUACCCUUGUAGUC
Molecule: ribosomal RNA, 459 nt
Filed under: uncultured bacterium
Lineage: Bacteria
Description: partial 16S ribosomal RNA
Rfam family: Bacterial small subunit ribosomal RNA
Source: RNAcentral